AGUAGAGACGGGGUUUCACCCUUUAGCCAGGAUGGUCUCGAUCUCCUGACCUCGUGAUCCGCCGUCUCGGCCUCCCAAAGUGCUGGGAUUACAGGCUUGAGCCACCGCGCCCGGCCGCCGUUUGGCUUUGACCUCGGACUCUGGUGGCCUUUUUUUGGAGAAUUGAAGGACUGGGGCACAACAUCUGGGGGUUCGUCCGGGAUUUCCCCCAAGCCCACCAGACCCCAGGUCAAGGGAUCGUCACUGAUCAGUAAGUGAGCCGGCUUUGUCUCUGUUCGUCUUUGUCUCUCUGAGGAAUCCCGCGGGAUCUGUACUGAGGUUGGCAUAGUCUUGGCGGACGCGCUAUAAGACAGCCACCAGGGACCGGUAGGAGACGUCCUCCGGUGCCCAUCUGGGGCCUCUGUAUUCUGUUGGCCUGUCUGACUCUGAUCGGGAACUAAACCCGAAAGGCUCUUGCGGAACUGUUGUCUGUUGUUGCUGUUGUAGACUGUUACUUGUUUAGAACUCACUUUCACUUUUCAGGAGCCGCUGGACGAGACAAAAGUUACUUCAAAUCCUGUUACUGAUAUUUCUCUGUAUUCCUUUCUCUACCUCCAGGGGUUCCUGAAAUGGGCGGCGCCCAGAGUACGCCACUCUCUUUCCUUGUAAAUAACUUUAAAGAUGUCAAAGCUAGGGGCUAUAACCUUAGUGUAGAGCUAAAGAAAGGAAAAUUGAUGACCUUCUGCCGCUCAGAGUGGCCCGCUUUCGGCGUAGGGUGGCCUCCCGAGGGAACAUUUUGCCUCCCUAUUAUCACUAAGGUAAAAACUAAAAUUUUCCUACCAGGACGUUCGGGGCAUCCUGAUCAGAUCCCCUACAUCUUGGUAUGGCAAGACCUUGUGGAAAAUCCGCCGCCUUGGCUGGUCCCUUUCGUACUAGCCCCUGAGCCCUGUAAAGCAUUAGUCACACGGCCUGUGGGAAACUCCCAAAGACAGAAGACCCCAUCUGCCCCUCCUGCCCCUGUGUUGUCUGAUAGUCAGGACCCCCUGUCAUUAGAACUCCCGCCUUACCCACACCCCGGCCCUCAGCUCCAGGCUCCGCCGGCUGCUUCCCCGAGAGAACGGGAAGACCGAGAAGCAGCGGCAGCACCGGCGGCAAUGGAAAGCGAAAGCAGUCCUGGGGGGCCGGCGGGAAGGACACGCGGCCGUGCCCAACAUGAACAGGCCUCGCGGCCCCCCGACUCCACUGUAGCACUACCCCUCAGGGAAAUAGGAACCCCCGAUGAUACUGGGUUUUCCCGCCUCCAGUAUUGGCCCUUCUCUACUAGUGAUCUAUAUAAUUGGAAAUCCCAGAAUGCCCGGUUCUCAGACAACCCAAAAGAUCUAACAUCAUUAUUAGACAGUGUUAUGUUUACCCAUCAGCCUACUUGGGAUGACUGUCAGCAGCUCCUCCGGAUUCUGUUCAGGACGGAGGAACGAGAAAGAAUACAGGUUGAGGCCAGAAAACUGGUUCCCGGAGACGACGGCCAGCCAACUGCCAAUCCUGACCUCAUCAAUGCAGCUUUCCCUCUGACCAGACCUAGAUGGGAUUACAACAGGGCAGAAGGUAGAGGACCACUGCUCAUUUAUCGCCAGACUCUAAUGGCAGGUCUCCAGUCGGCAGCUCGCAAGCCCACUAAUUUAGCUAAAGUGUAUUCUGUGUUGCAGGGUAAGACAGAAAGCCCUACCGUUUAUCUAGAAAGGCUGAUGGAAGCUUUCAGACAGUUUACCCCUAUGGACCCAGAAGCACCUGAGAAUCAGGCAGCAGUAGUAAUGUCCUUUGUAAACCAGGCAGCACCAGAUAUUAAGAAAAUGUUACAAACACUAGAAGAUUUAGAAGGAAAACAGGUACAAGAUCUCCUCUGCAUUGCCAAUGAGGUAUACAACAACAGGGAUACCCCAGAAGAAAGGCAGUUAAAAGCUACUAAAGAGAUGACCAAGGUCCUGGUGGCUGCUUUCCUUCAGGCAGAGAACAACCAAAGGAGGAAACAGGCACAAGGCUCUAAGCAAAAGUUAGAAAAAGAUCAGUGUGCUUACUGUAAAGAACAUGGCCACUGGAUUAAAGAUUGCCCAAAGAAAAAGAGACAGUCGGACUCAGGGUUGCGGAAACCUACCCCCAUACUCGUCACCCAGGAUUCCGACUAGGGGGGACGGGGUUCGGAACCCCUCCCCAAAUCCAGGGUAACUCUACAAGUGGAGGGGUCCCCGGUCCACUUCUUGGUCGAUACCGGGGCGCAACACUCAGUUUUAACCAAACCAUAUGGAAAACUGUCUGAAAAUACAUCAUGGGUGCAAGGGGCCACAGGGAUAAAAAAGUGCCCUUGGACAACUCAGAGGACUGUGGACCUGGGUUCAGGGAAAGUGUCCCACUCCUUCCUGGUCAUCCCUGAGAGCCCUUGCCCCUUGUUGGGGAGAGAUCUAUUAACAAAAAUGGGGGCCCAGAUCCACUUCCAGCCGGGAGGUCCCAGGGUGACAGACUCUCAAAACCAGCCAAUAUCUAUCCUUACCGUCGCUUUAGAGGAUGAAUAUAGACUCCACCAGGAUCCAGUAUUCCCAGACCAAAGGAUCCAUUCCUGGCUCCAGCGCUUCCCAGAAGCAUGGGCGGAAACGGGUCCUAGGACUGGCAAAACACCGCCCUGCCAUAGUGGUUGAGCUUAAACCUGGGGCGGACCCUGUCCGGGUCCGGCAGUAUCAAAUGCCCCUGGAGGCAAAAGAAGGAAUAAUGCCCCACAUUCGCCGGCUCCUGGACCGGGGAGUCCUGCGUGCUUGUCACCUCACCAUGGAACACUCCUUUGCUGCCCGUCCGAAAGCCUAAUAGCAAAGACUAUAGGCCAGUACAAGAUUUAAGAGAAGUUAAUAAAAGGACUAUGGACAUACAUCCUACUGUGCCCAAUCUGUAUACCCUCCUAAGUACUCUAAGCCCGGAGAAGCAGUGGUAUACUGUCCUUGACCUGAAAGAUGCGUUUUUCAGUCUGCCCCUGGCUCCCAAAAGUCAAGAGAUUUUUGCAUUUGAAUGGACAGACCCUGAGAGGGGUAUAAACGGCCAACUGACAUGGACUAGGUUGCCACAAGGAUUCAAAAACUCGCCGACCCUGUUCGACGAGGCCCUCCAUGAGGACCUGGGUGAGUACAGAUGGCAACACCCUGAAAUAACCCUUUUGCAGUAUGCUGACGAUCUUUUAAUAGCAGCCAAGUCUCCGGAAGCCUAUGUUCAGGGAAUGGAGGACCUCCUGAAGGCUCUGGGGGAACUAGGCUACUGGGCCUCGGCGGCGAAAGCCCAAAUCUGCAAGUCGGAGGUAACUUACCUGGGAUACCUGCUAAAAGGGGGGCAACGGUGGCUAACUAGUGCUGGAAAAGAGACAGUCCUACGAAUCCCCAAACCCCAGUCAACGAGACAAGUAAGAGAAUUCUUGGGGUCAGCGGGGUUCUGUAGGUUAUGGAUACCCGGGUUUGCGGAGUUGGCCAAGCCCCUAUAUCAGGCAACAAAGGAACAGCAGCCCUUUAGUUGGACGGAAGAGGCCGAGUUAGCUUUCCAACAGAUUACAAGGGCACUGUUAUCAGCCCCCGCGCUAGGACUCCCUGAUGUUUCCAAGCCCUUUCACUUGUACGUGGAUGAAAGCAGGGGCGUUGCCAAAGCGGUAUUGACUCAGUACUUAGGUCCCUGGCGGAGACCAGUUGCCUAUCUGUCAAAAAAAUUGGACCCUGUAGCCGCAGGUGGCCGCCCUGUCUCCGAAUAAUCGCGGCAACCGCCCUGAUGGUGCAGGAUGCUGAUAAGCUUAUCAUGGGACAAGAGCUACGGGUUACUACUCCACAUGCCAUCGAAGGCGUUCUCAGACAGCCGCCUGAUCGAUGGAUUAGCAAUGCCCGGCUCACCCACUACCAGGGGCUACUGCUAAACCCCCUCAGGAUAACUUUCCUGCCCCCAACGACCCUGAAUCCUGCGUCACUAUUGCCAAAUCCAGACUUAGAAGCCCCGUUCCAUGACUGUUCCGAGAUAUUGGCCCAGGUACAGGGAGUCAGGGAAGACUUGCAAGACCACCCACUACCUGACGCUGAUCUCAUUUGGUUCACCGAUGGAAGCAGUUUCGUCCAUCAAGGACAGAGGUUUGCAGGAGCGGCAGUAACUUUGGAAACUGAGGUAAUUUGGGCCGAGCCACUACCCCCCGGGACGUCGGCACAAAAAGCCGAGCUUAUAGCACUCACUCAGGCCCUUACAUUGGGAGCAGACCAAAAGCUGACAGUUUACACUGACAGCUGGUAUGCUUUUGCCACAGCACACAUACAGGGGGCUAUUUACAGGGAAAGAGGCUUGCUCACAGCAGAAGGAAAAGACAUUAAAAAUAGAGAAGAAAUCCUUGAUUUACUAGCAGCCCUGUGGAGGCCAAAGAAAAGGGCCAUCCUGCAUUGCCCAGGACACCAGAAACUAGUCAGCCCAGUCGCCCGGGGCAAUAACCUAGGGGAUUCCACUGCCAAAGAAGUUGCAAAAGCUCUCGAUUGGCUCCUUACACUCCAACUCCCUGACCCGGGACCCCGAGAUUUACCCUAUAACCCUGAAUACUCAGAAGAAGACCUACGGUGGAUAGACAAACUCCCAAUGAAACAGAUUCAAGAUGGAUGGUGGACAGAUACAUGUGGCAACAUAGUCCUACCUGAAAGGCUAGGACAGCAAGUGCCAGAACGUAUCCACAGAUCCACCCACUUGGGGGCCCAAAGAAUGAUAGACUUAAUCAGACACACCAAGCUUAAAAUUAGGCAUGUGGCUGAAAAGGCCGGCAAAAUAGCUGCAAACUGCAAGGUUUGUCUACUCAACAAUGCCUAUAGUCAGUCCCAAACUGUUGGGACAAGACUAAGAGGAACCAGGCCUGGAGUCUAUUGGGAAGUAGAUUUCACUGAAGUUAAACCAGGUAAAUAUGGUUAUCGAUACUUAUUAGUCUUCAUAGAUACCUUUUCAGGAUGGACUGAGGCAUUCCCAACCAAACGCGAGACUGCACAAGUUGUUGCAAAGAAAAUUUUAGAAGAAAUCCUCCCCAGGUAUGGCUUUCCUGUCCAGAUAGGAUCUGACAAUGGACCAGCUUUCGUUGCUAAGCUCUACAGAGAGUUCAGGAGGAAGUGUGGCCUAGACUGCGAGAACUGUAGGAGUCUGGACCCUCGCCCACACCUCAUUCACAUCAACCAGGAGAUUGGGUCCUGGUCAAACGGCAUCGGUAAGAAAGCCUAGAGCCAAGGUGGAAAGGACCAUUGCAGGUACUCCUAACCACCCCCACCGCUCUCAAGGUCGAGGGCAUCGCGUCGUGGAUCCACCACACCCACGUCAGGCCAGUGAACCCAGCAACAGACCUCCUCAAGCAAAGCGUGGAAACGCCAGAGGCAGCAGAUACUUGGACAAUAGAUCGAACUAAGGACAAUCCUUUAAAACUGACACUGUGCCGGCGCCACAACCCACCGUAACUAUGUUAGUUUUCUUUAUGACUUUGUGCCUCCUGUGCUUAUCUCCCUCGCUCACUGCAAACCCAGCUACAAACCCUUUUGUUUGGAGGUUCUGGCUCUAUGAGAACCAAACCCACCCAGGAGAAACCCCCAGGCCGGAAAAUUGCUAGCUAGUGCAGAUUGCCCCCCCCCCCCUCCCCGGAUGUAGUACUCCAAUUUACCUCAACUUCACUGGGUUUCAGGUUGCCAAACCGGCAUUACCCACCAUCUGCUUCGAAUUUGAUCAGGCCCAACACAACUGUAAAAAUUAUUGGAAACGAAUGAGUGCAGGAUGCCCCUAUAGCUACUGUAAGACCCACUCAGUCAGAGAAUGGACACAAACCGGGUGGAACUUCUAUCACAGUGCAGGCACCUAUACUUGGAUAAUUAAAGACCCAUGGGAUUCCCGGUGGACCUCGCCACAGCAUGGGGCUGUCUACUAUUCCUCCACCAGUACUUGGCCCAGUAGUCACUUAUAUCUGUGGCGCAGUCUAGUCCAAGUUCAGUCCCUAGUCCAUGGAGACAUCCACCAACAGGAAGAAAAGCUGUUACAGGAUCUACCUCCCUUUUCGUGGCUAACCCUACUGCAAGAGGGGCUAAUGGUCGCCAACCUUACAGGUCUAGAAGACUUGUCUUCUUGCUUUAUGUGUGCAGCUCUAGGGCGUCCGCCACUAACUGCUGUCCUACUGUCUACCCCACCCGGCAACCAAACUGUAAACCCUCGGAAUUCGUCCGCUGCUCCGGUGUCCAAUGUCCUCCUAUACCAUAAUCCGAGCCAAGAGAAAUUCCCCUACUGCUAUUCAGCUAUCAACUCCAGUCUCUGUGACCACACAGCUGCCCUCCCUAGUACCCCGUUGUAUGCCCCACCUGGCAUAUUCUUCUGGUGCAAUGGUACUCUGUUCCAAAAUUUAUCUGGGGGGUCUCCUGACGGGCGGAUAUGCCUCCCUGUCACUCUGGUCCCCCAGCUAACUUUGCUGACACCAGCUGAAUUCCUGGGCUGGACAGGUGCUGUCUUUGACGAGGCCCCUAGGCAUAAACGGACAGUAUUCCUACCCCUUGUCGCUGGAAUCUCUCUUUCCACGUCCCUUAUCGCAGCUGGAUUGGCGGGGGGGGAGGGCCCUAGGCCCCUCAAUAGUGGAAAAUGACAAGCUGUUCCAGCAAUUCUCCGUCGCAAUGGAGGCGUCAGCUGAAUCCCUUGCCUCCCUCCAGCGGCAACUCACCUCACUAGCCCAGGUAACCCUCCAAAAUCGGAGAGCUUUAGAUUUACUGCUGAAAAAGGGGGCACAUGUAUGUUCCUCAAAGAAGAGUGUUGUUUUUACAUAAAUGAGUCCGGGCUAGUAGAAAGUCGGGUUCAACAACUACACAAGUUAAGCCUAGAAAUGAAGAGGCGGCAGUUUGCCUCAGCCGCUAGUAGCUGGUGGAACUCUUCCAUGUUCUCUCUCCUAGCCCCCUUCAUUGGGCCACUGAUAACCCUCUUACUCCUGCUCACGAUAGGACCUUGUGUUGUUAAUAAAAUAUUGCAAUUUGUCAGAGAAAGGUUCAACACCAUCCAACUUAUGGUUCUCCGCACCCAGUAUCAACCCUUAGACCUGCGUGACACGGAAGAAACAGAGGUAACCUUAUAGGGACCCAAGAUUGGAUCCCCAGUUUCCUGUGAGAGGGGGAAAUGUGAGAAGGUGAAAAAUUAAGGAAAAUAAGUUCCAGAAACCUGAACUGGAACCAACCGGUUAGGAAAGCUCCUGAUAAAGGUCAUGAGUGUUUAAAAGAGUAACUGAAACACCCAGAAGGCGGGCACCAAUCAUAAACAGCCAAAUCGCCUUGUUCAAAUGUCAGCCAAUCCCAAACCUGUAUUGCACAAAAUCCCCUAUGACUCCGUGCUUGUUUACUACUGACUAUAAAACGCUGUCUCAGACUCAGCCGGAGGCUCUCCAACAGUCUUUGAUCGGGAGUCCAGGUUCGAACUUGUAUUAAAGAUCCUUGCCGUUUGGCUUUGA
Piliocolobus tephrosceles (Ugandan red Colobus) is the source of this 7474-nucleotide RNA transcript. RefSeq lists it as uncharacterized. Lineage: Eukaryota; Metazoa; Chordata; Mammalia; Primates; Cercopithecidae. The record is from RefSeq and is a predicted model, not a curated record. The transcript has 2 exons.